This 515-nucleotide ribosomal RNA is filed under the name Carlosrosaea hohenbergiae. RNAcentral's name for it is "eukaryotic LSU rRNA". The stretch from base 135 to 288 matches the Rfam family "5.8S ribosomal RNA". The record is from RNAcentral. Lineage: Eukaryota; Fungi; Basidiomycota; Tremellomycetes; Tremellales; Trimorphomycetaceae.
ACCUCGGCGGUCGGGCGCGAGCCCGGCCGCCAAACCAAACCCUCUGUGAACAAACCCGGCCGACGCCGUCACGCGUCGGCCGAAACCUUUGCACCUGUCGUCACUAUGUCCAGAAAGUAUAUAACAAAGAGUACAACUCUCAACGAUGGAUCUCUUGGCUCUCGCAUCGAUGAAGAACGCAGCGAAUCGCGAUACGUAAUGUGAAUUGCAGAAUUCAGUGAAUCAUCGAAUCUUUGAACGCACCUUGCACCCUCUGGUAUUCCGGAGGGUAUGCCUGUCUGAGUGUCUAUGUCAAUCAUCAUCCCGACGGGUUCUGCCCGGCGGGGUUGGAGUUGGGCGCUGCCAUCCGUGGCUCGCCUCAAAUGCAUUGGUGGCUCUUGGUCGGCCCUUCAUCUGGCGUGAUACGUUUCGCCGGGGGAUGGGGUCGUCCGGCCUCCUUGAAACCGCCUGCUUGCAGGAAGCACCGAUUGACCUCAGAUCAGGUAGGACUACCCGCUGAACUUAAGCAUAUCAAU